GUCGCGCACGAGGUCGGGGUGCUGGCGGCGCUCACGGCACUGCAGGUUGUCGGUGGCGAUGGAGAAGGGCACGGAGGUGGCAUCCAGGGCGCGCGCCAGCCGCUGCUUCUGGGCCAGCAGCAGGUCGCUCUCCGUGCCCAGUUCUCCAACCUCGCGCUGCAGCUCCGACUUCCAGCCGUGCGUGUCCUGCAGCCGCGCGCCCGCCUUCCGGGUGGCGUCCUCCUGCGAGCACCGGGCCAGCGCCUGGGUCUUGGCCGCCAGCUGAUGGCUCUCGUGGCGCCGCCGCUCCGACUGGUUGCGGUCCGCAAAGGCUUGGUGGUAGCGGGCGUAGCAGUUCUGGGACCACUCGUCUGCCAGGUACUUGGCCGAGCGGAAGCCGGCAGUGGCCAGGCCCGAGGACGAGCAGGCGCCCACGUUCCGGGCCACGUCGUACACUUUCUGGGGCAGCUCGCAUGCCGGCACCGCCUGGGGCGUGGGCUCCUUGGUCAGGAGCACGUCCGUCUGUGCCAUGGUGCCCCCCACCCCCCUGCUCCUGUGUGAGGGAGAGAGGACCUUUGGGUAACCAGGGCAGCUGGGGCCACUUGGUCCCCAGCAGGACACUUCUGGUCUCCCAGCGACAGGUACACAUAAGCCCUCCUGUUGCUGGGCAACAGGUCCCAUCCCCUCGUGGCUCUCUUAAAGGGCCAGGCAGGCCCAGCCCCCCACCCAUCCUGGCCCAGGCCCCACACCUGCCCAGCACUGCACCUGGGACUGGGCUGCAGCCAGGCCCAGUUGUCCCCUGCUUGUCUCACUUGUCCCAGUGGGGAGACCCCUGGACACGGGGAGAGGGUGCGGGCAGAGACUUGUCUUUGAUGAGGAGUCAAUUUCAGCCUCCAGUGGAAACCUGGGAGCUGGACACGCAAGUCUUCUCCACACAGGUGUCCCCCAGGCCACCCCGGGCCAGGCUCAUGGCUGAGGCCACCUGGUCCCCAGGCCCGCCUCAGCCCUGCUCCAUCCUGGUGAGCCGGGGCCCUGUCCAGUGUGCCCAGCAGAGGGCACCAUUGGCCGCAAAAUGUCGCCUGGAGUGGCGGCCAGCGGCAGUGGGUGGGUGGAGGACCUGGACCCUGGGUGGCCCGCUGCCUGGCCUUUCCCCCUGAGCCCCCCAGCCCCGUGGGAGCCCUCAACAGCCCACCUGCAGGACAUGCGCGCCCCUUCCCAACGCAUUCGUGGCCCUGGCCCCCCACUCCCUCCCCGUCCCUCCCUGCCUGGCCCUCGCCAGCCUCACACCUCGGAUACAGCAGCCCUGGCCCGGCCCAGCCCUGACCUGUGGCACCAGCCUCCCUCUGCAGGGCCCAGCAUCUCCACCCCCGGCACACAGCAGAGAGCCAGCGUUGGGGUUCGAAGCGGCGGCUGAGACUUAUGCAGGCUGAUUGGAUUUGUGUCCAAAUUGCAUUUGGGACGAGAAAAUUGAGUCUCGGGCACACUGAGGUUCCUGGGGCAAGGUACGUGCCUGCCACCCUCCCCCUGCCGUGUUCAGACAGUGGCUUGGGACCUGCCCCGGGGUCAGGGAGGCCCCGAGGCCCCCCGACACUCCCCUCCAGACUCUGCUUGCACACCUUGGGGCCGGGGCUCCUUCCUCCCCCAGGGCGGCCCUGGAGGACACCGCCUGUCGUGCCCCUGCCUCUGGGGUUGGUCCCGCUCAUGAGUCCUUAGCCCCCUGUAGCCUGGACCCUGAUGCCUGGAGGGAACCGAGACAGGAGGAGCCAUGGUAAUGGUAACGAUUCCCUGGGGCCUGUACCCCGCUGACACCACAUCACGGGCCAGCUCAGCCUCAGCACCAGGACCCCAGCAAGAGGAUGGACACGGAAAAGCUGCGGGCCCUGGCGUCUCUGGGAAGCCCCUCACGGAGCAGGGGGCACCGGUGGGACAGAGGAUGCCAGAAACCACCCUGGCCCCUCACCUAGAGCUCAGCAGGCUCCUGCAGGCACCUGGCCCCCCCGCCCCCACCAGCCUGGUGGUGGCUGCAGAGCCCCUGAGCCCUGCUCUGCAGAAGGGCACCCUGGAUGCUGGGUCCAGCCCACCCGCCCCCCGCCCUGUGUCCCCCACCUGCUCUGGGCGGCAGAAGUGGCCAGAUGGGGAGACAGGAGCCUGCUGCUCUGCGCAGCUUCACGGGCUGUGGCCACCCCAAGGGGCUGGGGUCACACAGCUGGGAGGACGGGGGGUUCCAGACUCAGCUGCCUGCCCACCCUCAGGCCCCAGCGCGCCUUCUGCUCUCCACCCGCAGCCCCAGCUCAAGAAGUCUUCAUCCCCCUCGCCCCUCGUGCCCCUUGCCCGCCCACAUUUUAGUGACGGGAGGAACUGAAGCUGCUCCGAUAGCCCUGAGCCUGGCUGGCCCCAGUGCCAGCGGGUGCCACCAGGGGACGGGGAGGAAGAGGACAGGCCGCUUCUGGUCCAGCAGCACCAGACGUGGGCUCAGAGGGGAGGGAGACGCCCCUGGGGGCUCGGAGGGCACCGUCCAGGCCUUGCUGGGGCCCCUCCAAGGCCGCUGGGGCCGAUGCUGCCGCAGGAAGGGACAGGAUGUGCAUGGGGGCACAUGUGCCAGAGGGAGCGCGGCGGUCUGGGGGCUCGGUGCCACCUACCUGUGCUUGGCAGGAUGGGGCCACCCCGGCUCAGCCCUCGGGCCUGUCCCCCCACCUGGCCCUGGGUAGAAGGUGGGGACUCGGGGCCACAGAUGCAUCCCUGUCCACCCUGCACCCAGGGAGGACACCCAUCGGGGACCCUGCGUGUGCCUCCCACUCUGGGCAGCCAUGUCCCCCCGCAGAGCCUGGCCUCGUCGCCCAGGACGUCCCCACCACCGUGGCCCGGCUCUGCCACAUGAGGUUCUGAGGUCUGCAGCGUGGGCACCAGGUCUAGACCACAGCCCCCGAGGCUGCAUGAGCUGUGCCUCAGUUUCCCCAUCUGUGGGCUGGGGGUUAGAGUGGUCCCUCCCUCGUGGGUGUUUGAGGACGGAGCCACACAGUGUGCGUGCAGGUCCUGGGGUGGCCGUUCCCAUGCCAUCCCCCGUGCAGGAGGUGGCCUGAUUUCUGACCCCGUUCCCACCCGGAGGUUCUCAGCAUCAGGUCCCAAGAGGUCAUUCGCGGGCAUGGCCUGUGGUCAUCUGGGGGGGAACAGGCCCCUCGUCCUGGGCGCCCACCCCAUUUUUAUCUGAAGGAUCGUUUUCAAUUCAUGUUUUCACUGCCCAGACACCACUUGGAGACUCACCUGGCCCCAUCCCCCAGGGGACAGCAGCACCGCGCGCCCAGGAUGGCGGGGUUGCGGAACAGGCCACACGUGUGUGUCCUGCGGCCUGGUGCAUCAGGGACUGAGCUCCUCGUCCUCGGAGGGGUCCAGGCAGCCACUGGUGAGGACGCGGUGGACACCUGGAGCAGGACAGGCCAUCCGUCCGCGAUGCCCCCAGCACUCGAGCUCCCCACCCCCAGCACGGCUGGCAGAGGAAGGAGGGCCCUCUCCAGUCUCGGGUCUCGGGUCUCAGGUCCCCAUCUCCGUCAGGGGGGCCUCACCGGGCAGCCGCCCUCCCUGCCAGGUGUCUCCCCGCCCAGGCCCCCAGGACUUGGGUCCUUGCACCCGCCCUACGCACACGUGUUCCCCGUUCCCGUGAAGCUCGUGCCCGCAGCUGGUGGGAGGAGCCCAGCCCCCGGGGUAGCACACCGGCCCCGUUGUGCUUAAAGACCUGAGCAGGCGCCGCAGAAGGGAGUGGCCCGGGGCCCGCGGGCUCGCAGCCCGUCCGCGCUCUGGGCCCAGCCUGGUCCGUGCUGGGCCUUGGGGCGGCAGGCUGAGUCCCCGACUCCACCACAGCCUCUGCGGAGGCCUCCCAGGGUUCCCAUCCUCGGGCCCCAGCGUGUUGGUGGGGGUGGAGGGGGGUGCUCGUCGUCGAGCCGGUGGCCUCCACCGGCCUUUGCCCACUGGCCCCCGCCCCUGCUCCUCUGGCCCCUACCGGCAUCUGUUGGACGCUCGCUCUGGGGGUGCUUCUGGGUCCCCAAGUACAGAUGAGGAAACAGUCACCGCCGUGUUGCACGACAGGGACCAGAGCACUAGAAGACUCCAGAACCUUUUCCAGGGCUGCAGCUGCUCAAGCUGAGGGCGAAGGGAGCCGAGGGCCAGACCCCAAGAGGCCCCGCAUCCUCUGUCCCUCUGAAGCUGCGUGAGGCUGUUUUUCCGCUCGGGUCAAAGGGAUGGGACGGGUGACUCAGGUCCCUGCUGGACCGACUCUCCAUCUGCCCCACCCCUGCCCGGUAACCUGUGACCUCCACCCCCUGCACCAGGGUGUCACGGGGCAGACAAAGAGCAAGACAAGAAGGAAACCUUUGCCAUAGGACACGCCAUCGAGGACCAGAGCCCCGUCACCACUAGGAAGCCCGGCCCGUCCCGAUGGAUGAGGCCCAACCAGGACCCAGGACAUCCCGGGUCCCUCACCCCCUGCCCCGCAGGGUCACAUGCUCCCUGCCCCUUCCCGGAAUGCCCGCGGCCCCACCUCCUGCGAGUACACCUCUCCUCCAGGCAGUCUGCCCUGUUUGCUUCUCACAGUCCCUGGGCUGGCUCCUCCUCUGGCUUCAGGGACCUGGCGCAACUGCACGUCCUGGCAGUGACAAGGCUUUGACGCAAAUAAAAGGAACUCGGAGAAGCUAAGGAAAGAGGGCAGCCUGAGGAGUGUGAACGGAUGACAGAGAGCUGGCCCCAAGCUGUGCUGGUCAGGUGCUCAGAUGCAGCGCAGUCUCGGGUUUGCACACCUGCCCGUGUUCAUCGUCACAGUCUCGUAUGAAUAUGACAAGCCCAACGGUCACGAGGGAACCAGACACCCCCCGCCCCGGGAGAUAUCAGCCAGUGGGUUUCAGGGCUGACCAACCAGAUGCCACCUGGGUCCCAUUAGAAGAGGGACGGUGUCCCAGAGGAGGGAAGUGAUAACCCCACACACACCGGCCGGAAUGUGCUUGUGAGACUGAAGGAGAAUGUUCCAGAAGACGUUCCAUCUGAGACAACACUGGGCCGGCAGCAAAGCAGAGCCGGCGCUCCCUAGAAUCACAGCCCAAGGGCAUCCCAAGGGCAUCGGUGGCCCGGGAGAGGACGCCCACAGACCCGCGCUCCAGCCCCUCCGCAGGGCCAGCUCCGCCCAGCACUUAGCCCGAGGAGGCCCUGGAAACAGAUGCCGAGGGACAGGGAAACCAAGCCCCACUGUCCUCGGGGAGCGCAGGACGGAGCCACUUAGCAGGAACCCGGGCUCGGUGUCAGGAGUCUCGGUGCCUCCAGCAGGAGACGCAGCAGGGGCGGGGGCAGCGGGGGGGGUGGCAGCCGAGGGCCCUCCUGGGGUCGGAGCCUAGAGGUGGGGGGGAUGCAGCCCCCAAGGAGUUCCCACCCUCUCCCCAACUGCCUGUCGCAGCUUAAAGUGGCCUCGGGUGCCAAAUUAGCUCCUGGGCGUGGAUGCUGCUCCCACCCCUAGCAGGCAGGCGGCCCCCGGUGAGGCGGGCCCCCUAUGGUUGGGUCUCAGGGUCAGCGGUCACCCCGUCCGCCUGGCCACGUGGGCACGUGGAGCUGUGGGGCCACGAGCGUGGUCCCCAGAGGGACACGGACCAAGAGGCAGGGGCUCAGUUGCUGCCCUCUGGAUGCCAGGACCGUCCCUGAGGCCGAGCAGGGGCCGGGGGGGCCCGGGGGCGUCGCUGGGCAGGGGGGAGGCCCUGUCCUAUGCCUGCCCCACCGAUGACCGGGUGAGCAGCUCCCACACUGCUCGGUGACCGUCGCCAGACCCAGAUGCCAACGACGGCCAUCAGGCCCGGUUUCUAGAAGGACACGGAGCCCCCAGUGUGUCCCCAGCCCUUCCCUGGGCCCCAGAGUCCAGGUGGUGGGACCGAGAUGGGCCCUGGCCCCCCAGGCCUACUGCAGCCCUGCUUUCUGCCCGCCAGGGCUCCUCGGGUGGGCCGUGGACCCGCUCACAUCUGCCCCCGGGACCCCGUAGGGCCCACAGGUCACUAAGAUCGGGGUCUUUGUGGGUAGGGGCAAGAUGCAGAUGUGGUCUGGCCGAGGAGGAAGGGUCUGUGCCCCAGGCAGGUCCUGGUGGGGGGCACGGGGGCAGCUCCGCCCUCGCAGCCUCCCCCACUCCCCCCGGUGGUCAGGGCCGCCCCCGGGGUGGCUCAGCCCUCCACCCAGCUAAUGCACUGUGCAUUACUGCAAGUCCUGCUUUCCUGGAGGAGAGCGAGAGGCGCCCUGGGGACCCUGCCUCCAUGAGGGAGCGGGCGCCGCGUCCCGACACACGUCACGUGCUCCACAGUUACUGGAAGCUCCUGCCCGAUGAGCUCCGCCCCAGCUCCUGCUUCGCCACCUGCCACAGCCCCUGGGACCCUCCUCCGGGCAGGCUGGCCUCGUGGUGCCCGACGGCCCAGGCCACUGCGCAGGAUGCUCUCCCUCCUGUGUCUCUCCAUCCUCAGGGCUCAGCCCUGGGGUCCCUUCCUCCAGGAAGCCCUCUGGGCUGUCCUCAGAUCCUCCUGCGCCCUCCAGCUGGGCCUCCAGGGCCGCCCGCACCUCCGUCCCCCACAGCAAGUGGCCCCGCGAGCACGAAGGUCCCCAGGGAGCAGCAGGGAGCCCUACAAGACUCACGGGGGCAGGGGCUGGGCCCCCACUGACUGAGCCAUUGUCCCUUGUGCACACGGUGACGGUUGCCAGAGCCCCAGAGGGGCCACCUCGCGCCGUCAGGGAGCGGCCAGGGGCACCAGCAGGUGUGGGCGCAUCGGGGCUAGCAGAGCCCGGCCACCCCAGGCCCGGUGGACCCGCCCGCUCACGGGCACAGAGGGAGCCCCGGCCACAGGCCCUCAAGCGUCGCCUGGCGCCCCUAGGGCUGGCACUGAGGCCGGGGGCUGGGGGACGGCCAGGAGGGCCUGCGGGCA
RNA transcript from Canis lupus familiaris (dog), 6911 nucleotides. It is a transcript of the gene named zinc finger protein ZIC 5-like, with no coding region annotated. Lineage: Eukaryota; Metazoa; Chordata; Mammalia; Carnivora; Canidae. The transcript is spliced from 4 exons. The record is from RefSeq and is a predicted model, not a curated record.